This 533-nucleotide long non-coding RNA is filed under the name Homo sapiens (human). RNAcentral's name for it is "HSALNT0241041". Lineage: Eukaryota; Metazoa; Chordata; Mammalia; Primates; Hominidae. The record is from RNAcentral.
GGUUGCAGUAAGCCGAGAUUGCACCACUGCACUCCAGCUUGGGCAACAGAGUGAGACUCUAUCUCAAAAAAAAAAAAAAAAGGCAGAUGGACUUGAGUAAUGUUAAAGAGUUAAAAUGGACAAGACUUGGUGGGUACUAGCAGGUAAAGGGAAGAAGGGAGGGAAACAUGGGAGGAGGCUUGAGUGGAAAGAUGGUGAAUUUCUCCCCUAUUCUAUUCCUAAUAAUGAGAGUUCUUUCUAAGCAGGGCUUCUGUAGUUCUGUAGCAGGUAGAAGCCUUUCAGGACCAGUAAGAUGCUGGCAUGAUGCGUGAUAUUCCGGUGCCCCCAGUGAUGAUUUUUCCAAGCAAUUGUGUUUUAUUAGCUGAACCUUUGGGUGGAAGAACAGUGACAGUGCCAAGCUGAGACUAAUAAUCCUCCAGAUCACAUAGACUGCUACACACACGCAAACUGUGAAAUUCCUGUGUCAUCUCAUGGUUCAUUUUAUGAUCAGUAAAAAGAAGCAAUCUCCCUCUUGUUCCACAUACAUAUUCCGC